GACGAACGCUGGCGGCGUGCUUAACACAUGCAAGUCGAGCGGUAAGGCCCUUUCGGGGGUACACGAGCGGCGAACGGGUGAGUAACACGUGGGUGACCUGCCCUCAGCUCUGGGAUAAGCCUGGGAAACCGGGUCUAAUACUGGAUAUGACUCCAUGACGCAUGUUGUGGGGUGGAAAGCCUUGUGCGGCUGAGGAUGGGCCCGCGGCCUAUCAGCUUGUUGGUGGGGUGANGGCCUACCAAGGCGACGACGGGUAGCCGGCCUGAGAGGGCGACCGGCCACACUGGGACUGAGACACGGCCCAAACUCCUACGGGAGGCAGCAGUGGGGAAUCUUGCGCAAUGGGCGAAAGCCUGACGCAGCGACGCCGCGUGAGGGAUGACGGCCU
Molecule: ribosomal RNA, 388 nt
Filed under: uncultured bacterium
Lineage: Bacteria
Description: bacterial SSU rRNA
Rfam family: Bacterial small subunit ribosomal RNA
Source: RNAcentral